Molecule: small RNA, 73 nt
Filed under: Xanthomonas citri pv. citri
Lineage: Bacteria; Pseudomonadati; Pseudomonadota; Gammaproteobacteria; Lysobacterales; Lysobacteraceae
Description: sX9
Source: RNAcentral
AUGUACGAGGGGUACAUGCCGAUUCCGAGCAGCGGCCGCGCCGCCUGGCGGCUGCGCAGUAGUUUUGUUAGCC